This 762-nucleotide ribosomal RNA is filed under the name uncultured bacterium. Its description in RNAcentral is "bacterial SSU rRNA". It matches the Rfam family "Bacterial small subunit ribosomal RNA", at positions 28 to 776 of the family's 1533-position model. The record is from RNAcentral.
AUUGAACGCUGGCGGCAGGCUUAACACAUGCAAGUCGAACGGUAACAGGAAGAAAGCUUGCUUUCUUCGCUGACGAGUGGCGGACGGGUGAGUAAUGCUUGGGAAUCUGUUUCAUGGAGGGGGAUAACUACGGGAAACUGUAGCUAAUACCGCGUAAUAUCGAGAGAUUAAAUGUGUGGGACCGUAAGGCCACAUGCCAUGAAGUGAGCCCAAGUGGGAUUAGAUAGUUGGUGAGGUAAUGGCUCACCAAGUCGGCGAUCUCUAGCUGGUCUGAGAGGAUGACCAGCCACACUGGGACUGAGACACGGCCCAGACUCCUACGGGAGGCAGCAGUGGGGAAUAUUGCACAAUGGGCGCAAGCCUGAUGCAGCCAUGCCGCGUGAAUGAAGAAGGCCUUCGGGUUGUAAAGUUCUUUCGGUGGUGAGGAAGGUUGACGUGUUAAUAGCACGUUGAUUUGACGUUAGCCACAGAAGAAGCACCGGCUAACUCCGUGCCAGCAGCCGCGGUAAUACGGAGGGUGCGAGCGUUAAUCGGAAUAACUGGGCGUAAAGGGCACGCAGGCGGUGACUUAAGUGAGGUGUGAAAGCCCUGGGCUUAACCUAGGAAUUGCAUUUCAUACUGGGUCGCUAGAGUAUUUUAGGGAGGGGUAGAAUUCCACGUGUAGCGGUGAAAUGCGUAGAGAUGUGGAGGAAUACCGAAGGCGAAGGCAGCCCCUUGGGAAUGUACUGACGCUCAUGUGCGAAAGCGUGGGGAGCAAACAGG